UACGGAGGGUGCAAGCGUUAAUCGGAAUUACUGGGCGUAAAGCGCGCGUAGGUGGUUUGUUAAGUUGAAUGUGAAACCCCCGGGCUCAACCUGGGAAUUGCACCUGAUACUGCUGAGCUAGAGUACAGUAGAGGGGAGUGGAAUUUCCUGUGUAGCGGUGAAAUGCGUAGAUAUAGGAAGGAACACCAGUGGCGAAGGCGACUCUCUGGACUGAUACUGACACUGAGGUGCGAAAGCGUGGGGAGCAAACAGG
RNAcentral lists this ribosomal RNA (253 nucleotides) under uncultured bacterium. RNAcentral describes it as "partial 16S ribosomal RNA". It matches the Rfam family "Bacterial small subunit ribosomal RNA", at positions 524 to 776 of the family's 1533-position model. The record is from RNAcentral.